AUUGAACGCUGGCGGCAUGCCUUACUUUGCAAGUCGAACGGCAGCACGGAGCUUGCUCUGGUGGCGAGUGGCGAACGGGUGAGUAAUAUAUCGGAACGUACCCUAGAGUGGGGGAUAACGUAGCGAAAGUUACGCUAAUACCGCAUACGAUCUAAGGAUGAAAGUGGGGGAUCGCAAGACCUCAUGCUCGUGGAGCGGCCGAUAUCUGAUUAGCUAGUUGGUAGGGUAAAAGCCUACCAAGGCAUCGAUCAGUAGCUGGUCUGAGAGGACGACCAGCCACACUGGAACUGAGACACGGUCCAGACUCCUACGGGAGGCAGCAGUGGGGAAUUUUGGACAAUGGGCGAAAGCCUGAUCCAGCAAUGCCGCGUGAGUGAAGAAGGCCUUCGGGUUGUAAAGCUCUUUUGUCAGGGAAGAAACGGUGAAAGCUAAUAUCUUUUGCUAAUGACGGUACCUGAAGAAUAAGCACCGGCUAACUACGUGCCAGCAGCCGCGGUAAUACGUAGGGUGCAAGCGUUAAUCGGAAUUACUGGGCGUAAAGCGUGCGCAGGCGGUUUUGUAAGUCUGAUGUGAAAUCCCCGGGCUCAACCUGGGAAUUGCAUUGGAGACUGCAAGGCUAAAAUCUGGCAGAGGGGGGUAGAAUUCCCCGUGUAGCAGUGAAAUGCGUAGAUAUGUGGGGAACACCGAUGGCGAAGGCAGCCCCCUGGGUCAAGAUUGACGCUCAUGCACGAAAGCGUGGGGAGCAAACAGGAUUAGAUACCCUGGUAGUCCACGCCCUAAACGAUGUCUACUAGUUGUCGGGUCUUAAUUGACUUGGUAACGCAGCUAACGCGUGAAGUAGACCGCCUGGGGAGUACGGUCGCAAGAUUAAAACUCAAAGGAAUUGACGGGGACCCGCACAAGCGGUGGAUGAUGUGGAUUAAUUCGAUGCAACGCGAAAAACCUUACCUACCCUUGACAUGGCUGGAAUCCUUGAGAGAUCAGGGAGUGCUCGAAAGAGAACCAGUACACAGGUGCUGCAUGGCUGUCGUCAGCUCGUGUCGUGAGAUGUUGGGUUAAGUCCCGCAACGAGCGCAACCCUUGUCAUUAGUUGCUACGAAAGGGCACUCUAAUGAGACUGCCGGUGACAAACCGGAGGAAGGUGGGGAUGACGUCAAGUCCUCAUGGCCCUUAUGGGUAGGGCUUCACACGUCAUACAAUGGUACAUACAGAGCGCCGCCAACCCGCGAGGGGGAGCUAAUCGCAGAAAGUGUAUCGUAGUCCGGAUUGUAGUCUGCAACUCGACUGCAUGAAGUUGGAAUCGCUAGUAAUCGCGGAUCAGCAUGUCGCGGUGAAUACGUACACGGGUCU
RNAcentral lists this ribosomal RNA (1350 nucleotides) under uncultured bacterium. RNAcentral describes it as "bacterial SSU rRNA". It matches the Rfam family "Bacterial small subunit ribosomal RNA", at positions 28 to 1381 of the family's 1533-position model. The record is from RNAcentral.